AUCCGGGACUCCGAACAAUCUUAGGUACAUGAAAACUCAUGAACUCAUAAUAUAACCGUCAUUGAAACUUUAAGCGUGCGAGGCCUGUUUCUUCAAACUUUGCCCCCCGUGCCGGCGCGGCUGCCAGCGAGACACGGGUGCCGGCGAGGCUUCCAGCGAUCCACGGGUGCCGGCGCGGCUGCGAGCGAGACACGGGUCCCGGCGCGGCUGCGAGCGAGACACAGGUUAGUAACCUGUACACAGUUCGCUUCUGGUUAAACUAAUUCAAAUCCUAUCUUUCGAGUGGGGCAGUCAAGGCCUGAUUCUCCACGCUUCCAGGUUUGCAUUCGGAUCAUGUGGAUUUGAACUGUUUCUUCAAAGUUUGCCGUCGGAUCAGGUGUGCGAGGCCUGUUUCUUCAAACUUUGCCCCCCGUGCCGGCGCGGCUGCCAGCGAGACACGGGUGCCGGCGAGGCUUCCAGCGAUCCACGGGUGCCGGCGCGGCUGCGAGCGAGACACGGGUCCCGGCGCGGCUGCGAGCGAGACACAGGUUAGUAACCUGUACACAGUUCGCUUCUGGUUAAACUAAUGCGGGAAGAGACUGGGUUAACUAUACAACUGUUCGAUUGGUGGUGUGACAUAGCCCCAACUGUUCGUCCGAUUCGUACAUGAUCCUGACUGUUCUUGUGUGCUAGCGAGGCAUAUACCUGUUCAAAGUAUUAGAUUAAACUGCUUUAAGUAUACAACCAAUGCAUAGCAAGGCUUGACAUAUGUAUACAUUCAAACCUUUUGAAAACUUACUGCUUCUCGAGAGGUAUCCUAACCCCGGCUAUAAUUUUUCUGACGUUCUACCGAAGUAACCUGUACCAAGAACAUGGCUAAGGAGGAUAAUUUGAUAUAUACAUGAUUUCUAUUCAACAAGCAACGCUAUCAGAAUAAAUGCAGCACGAAUAUGAUUGUGCGGUUUCAGAUUAGCUCCAUAGUGUUCCUUUUUUUAAUUAUCAAGAGCUUGUUGAAAUAACUGUGGUACAUAAUAUAUGGAAUCCAGUAUGCACUUAUAUGCACUUAGUUGACUAUCUUUAGUUUCUAUAUAUACUGAUGGAACUAUCUUCAGUUUGUAUAUAUACUUGUCACAAAUCAGUACUUGGCACAAACCUAUCUCGGUGGCGUAUGAGAAACAAGAUUUGUGUCCGAGAAAAAAAUACUACAAAUGGAGGAUGAGAUGAUGCUGCCAGGCCAAAGCAACAUUUUCAUGUUGUCCCCUGACUCUAUGCUUUUCUGUGUGGUUUCAUCUACUCUCCUUUUUAUUUAUUUUUUUUGCUUUUCUUAAUCUCGACCAGCCUAGGAAGAAGAAAACUUGAACCAAAGUAGUUAAUCCAUUGCACAACUCAAUGCAUUUCAACUUGUUCUGUUGCUUCCACCAAAAUCAUGCAGAUAUAAAGAUAAUACAAGAAGGUUAGUUACCUUCCUUUGUGCAGGACAAGAACUCUACCCGCUGCCAUUUUACGGAACCUGUAGCAAGCAAUGCAUUACAUGACAAUGUUGGUUAUUGGGCACAAAAACUGAAGAGAAGCAUUAUUGUACCAAACAUGCCAAGAACUUACUUUACUUCUGUUCAAUGUAGAUUAAAGUGCGUUAAAUAUAGUAUACGGUACUUAUUGGUCUGCUUUGCCAAUGACAAUUGUCUAUGACAGUGAUGUCCUCAAACGACUUGACCCCGUUUGGUUCUCGUUGGGAAAGGGUGAAUCUUGCUAAGCAACACCGACAACGACAAAUGGAGGCGACAACUGGGCUCCGACAACCUCUUGGUGAUAUCACCAAUGUUGAUAGACUCCCCAAAGAGGGUCCAGGUAUAUUUAAUUGAUAAUUGAUUAGUAUUUGGUGAUUGUUAAAUUACUAACCUAAACAAUCCCUUUCGCAAGCUAUUGGAGCUGGCCCACAACCAUCGAGCGGCUUGUUUAUUCAUGAAGCAGAUGUCCCGUCUCCCUCGACCAUAGAACUUCCGAAAGGGAGUCCAGGUAUAACUCAUCAGCAAUAUUUAAAUGCCUUCGAUAUUGGUGAUUACUAAUUUGAACAAUCCCUUUCGCAAGCCGUUGCAUCUGACCCACGACCAUCGAGCAGCCUGAUUAUACAUGAAGCACCAAUCCCCUCUGCGUCAACCAUAGAAAACCAUAAAGGUAGUCCAGGUAUAGCUUCCGAACUCACACCUCCUUCCAAUUUCUAAAUAUAAUGAAGCGGUAAAUUUAAUCCAUCAGAGGGGAUUGUUGCGAAUCAUCUGCUUUGGUAUAUAAUUAAUAUAUCGCAACCUUGAUGGUGCAUGAUUUUAUCCAUAAAUAUUAUUACUGUUCAAAAUCAGAUGCUAACUUGUGUAUACCUACAACAACAGAUGGACCUACGAGGGGCCGUGCUGGCCAACGUAAAGGGACCUUAUCAAAGGAGGAAAGGGAUGUCAUCAACGCACGGAGAAGAGCAACUUAUAAGAAGAAAAAAGAAGAGCAAGGGUACCAAGAACAAAAGGAUAAGUUUAACACAAAGAGACGAGAAUCUUAUCAGAAGAAGAAACAGCAGGAAGACCGACAGCGACAGAUGGAUGCGACAAAUGGCCUCCGACACGCUCUUGGUGAAGACACCAAUGUUAAUAUACACCCCAAAGAGGGUCCAUGUAUAUGGAAUUUGUGUAAUGUUUUUAGUAAUUCACCUUCAAUGUUGUUUCUUACUAAUUAACAAAGUCCCUUUCGCAAGACAACCGAUCUGACCCACAACCAUCAAGCGGACUAUUUAUUCGCGAAGCACCAACCCCAUCGCCCUCAACCAUUGAACUACCCAAAGGGAGUCUAGGUAUAACUCUGAGACAAUCUUUAAAUGCCUUUCAUAUUGAAUUUUUACUAAUUUGAACAAUCCCUUUCGCAAGCCAUUGCAGCUGACCCACAACGAUUGGGAGGCCUGAUUAUACAUGAAACAACAAUCCCCUCUGCGUCAACCAUAGAACUCCCCAUAGGUAGUCCAGGUAUUACUUUCGAACUCACACCUCCUUUGAUUUUCUACAAACAUCGAAACAGAAAUAAGUACAAAGUUGAGUCACUUAUUUUGGGACGGAGGGAGUAUCACUGUUGUACCUCCAGUCAACCAUGAGAGCUUUGAACUUGAUUGUUCUGGUUCGGAUGCUAAUGUGUAUAGACCUACAACAAUAGGUCCAGCUAUAAGGGGCUGUGAGGGCCAACGUAACGGGACAUUAUCAACGGAAAAAAAUGAUGUCAUAAACGCACGGAGACGAGCAACUUAUAAAAAGAAAAUAGAAGAGGAAGGGUACCAAGAACAAAAGGAUAAGUUAAACACACAAAGACGAGCAGCUUACGAGAUGAAGACACCAAAGGACACAAACACAUUAGAUAUUAUAAAUUCAAAGAGGCGAGCCGCUUACGAGAAGAAGAAGGAACAAAUAAACACGCAAAGACGGGAAACGGCUCAGAAACAUCGAGAUAGCUUAACACCAGAGCAAAAAGGGGAGAUUAGUGCUCAGCGCCGACAGCGAGAGAAAGCUAUCCGGAACACCCCGUGUGCUGAAUCCAUCGCGAUGCCUCGUCCUGAUUUAGCAAGCUCAGCUACGGCGAGCACAUGCGGUUACACCUUCAAAUCUUACGGUAUUCCUCGCCUGUGUGCUCCACAUCUUAUGUUCGUAUGCAUUAAACAAAUAUUUACUUGCUCCGUAUCGAUGCAGCCGCCUACUGUACCAGUACGCUGGACGAUAGUAACCUCAUGUUGGAUCCUGGGCAACAAUCCCAUGGUGAACAAAUUGAUCAUGCUCCUGCUGUCACCAAGAGCCCCGCAUACAUUCGAAACACCGAAACCGAUGGUACUUAUCCCAUCAUGAACCAGCUUUCAUUUUGUAAACAUUCAACAGUUGUUUACGACAACUCAAAAAUGUUGUAGGUGCCUACCUAAGUAGAACCUUCGGUGACGGGGCUGUAGAUGACGACCCAAUCAAAAUCGAUGAUCACCUGAAAAGUGUCGACCAGCUAACCAGUGAUCCGAUAACAAUAGCGGAUAACAGAGCGGACGAGCAGAAUCAUGAGUCCAGAGCUCGGCAUAGGACAAGAGAGCGAGCUUGCAAGGGAAGUAUGGCGGCGAAGAAGCGUCAGGAGAAAAUUGGCAAGCAAAAAACAUCACAGAAGGUACCACGUGGUGAGAGGAAUGCUCUACUAGAUCGGCGUAAUGAAAGGUUUGCAUGUAGGGUGAAGACCCCAACCGUCAGGUCCAUCUCCAUACCGGAAAUGAGCUCAAGUGGACAACCUACCGUAGUGGAAGCACACGGUGCCUCGACCUCAUCUAGCACACCGGAGUACACGAUCAGAAGUGAAGGUAACACUCCCAUCCUUACUCUCCUUGCGACCCUUGAGACUGAACCCUCAUUUAUUGGUUUCGCACCUGAGCAGACGACAUGGAUGCUUACCUUAGUCGUCUCAUGAAUGAUAAUGUCAACCCUGACAGCCUCUUUGACGAUGAGUAUUACCUGUUUGCUGGUGAAGGUAUGUACACCCACUUGAGCAACAUCCACCCGUCGGGAAUAUCACACUAAUUUUAAACAUUGUUUGCAGGCUCAGAUGCUGAUGACAUGGAGCACGACGAAUUGGAAGACUCAAGUCAAAAUACCUAUGUCGACCAUGAUCCAUUGGACUAUGUCUACUCAAACCUCCCAGACCACACACACAUACUGAAGCACGCCGCAAAUUGCGAUCAGUGCAAGGCCAAGAAGUUUGUGUCCGAGGCCCCGGGAUUCUGCUGUCGCAGUGGGCAGAUCCAACUGAAGCAACCGGAGCCCAUCCCGGAGCUAAUGAGGCUUUGGUCUAGCAUGGAUGCGGACUCAAGGCAUUUUCGGGAGAACAUACGGUUCUUCAAUGGCCACUUCUCCUUCACAACCCUCGGAGUCAGCCUUGAUGAAAGCUACACAAACAUGAAGUCUGGGGUGUACACGUUCCGAGCGCAUGGCACCAUCUACCACAACGUUCAUUCCUUCGGGCCAACGUCACGUCCAGAUCAUCUAUAGUUGUACUUCUACGACGACGACCCAGGCCUAACCCAUCGCAAGGCUGCCACCGAGCAAUUAGACCAAGAUAUCGUCAGAAAGUUAGUGAACAUACUCAGGGAAAACCCGUACUCCCAGCAGUUUAGGAGUUUGGGUGCGCACAGGGACAACCUCGACGAUUACAUGAUAGACCUCAACACUGACCAGAGACUAGACCAACGGAAGUAUAAUAGACCUCUAUCAUCUGAGGUUGCUGCGAUUUGGGUGGAGGGCACUGACCUAGCGAAGAGGUUCGAUCGUAGGAUUACACUUUGCGGGAAUGACAACCAGAGGCACAGUAUACAUGUGACGGCUGGCUCGUAUGACCCGCUCUCUUACCCACUCUUCUACCCAAGGGGGGAGCUCGGUUGGCACCUGAAACUUCCUAAACGUGAUGUCCCUUGGCCGGUUGUGCAACAACCAAGAGGUAAACGUGAUGAUGAUGAUGAUGAUGAGGAUGCAGGUAAGCCUUAUUCGUAUUCUGUCGUUUAGAUGAAUUGUAUACUUCUCAUAUGAAUUCUAAUGUCUGCGUUACUCACCCAUGUGCAGAGGGGAAUAGCAGGUUGUGCGUCUCGGUGAGAGACUACUACUGUUACAUGCUCCAGACACGACCUGGGAUAUUCAAUCCCAUACUCUGUGGAGCACGAUUGCUCCAGCAAUGGGGGGUGGACAUGUACAUCAAGAUUGAGAGUUGUAGGUUGAAAUGGUACAGAAAGAACCAGACAAAGAUCCGUGCCGACCUGUAUAAAGGAGUUGUUGAUGCAAUUACAUCCGGGGAAACCCGGGCAAGCGCUAUUGGAGUAAGGAUAGUGCUCCCUAGAACGUACCCAGGUGGCGACCGCGACAUGAAGCGGAGGCAUAUGGAUGCCAUGGCAAUUUUCCAUACCUACGGGAAGCCUGACAUCUUCUUGACCAUGACCUGCAACCCUAACUGGGAAGAGAUAACCAAUGAGUUGUUUCCUGGUCAGACAGCGCAAGACCGACCUGAUCUUGUGGCUCGUGUGUUCCAUGGCAAGCUAGAGGCUAUGAAAGAGAUGUUGUUCAAGAAGAAUAUCUUGGGUGUUGUUGUCGCACAUGUAUACGUAGUCGAGUUCCAGAAGAGGGGCCUCCCCCACGCACACUUUUUGUUGAUCAUGGAUUCUGCCUAUAAGCUUGUUGUUCCGGAGCAGUAUGACCGACUCAUUUCUGCCGAGCUCCCAGACAAGCAGAAGUAUCCUGAACUCUACGCCUUGGUGGUGAAACAUAUGAUGCACGGACCAUGCGGUGCUCUCAACCCCAACAAUGUGUGCAUGCAACAGAACGAGUGUAAGUGCAGAUACCCGCGGCCGUUCAAUGAAAACACGGCACAGGGCAAGGACUCAUACCCAGUUUAUCGUCGUCGAGAUAAUGGUCGGCAGGCUAAGGUCCGGGGUAAAAUGUUGGACAAUAGAUGGGUUGUGCCGUAUAACCCUUACCUUCUGCGGAUGUUCAAUUGCCACAUCAACGUUGAUGUUUGCUCCAGCAUAAAGGCCGUCAAAUACCUUUACAAGUACAUAUACAAGGGCCAUCAUAGGGCUUCUUUCAACAUCGACCAGCCCGAUGCCAAUGGUAACAUUGAUGAGAUCAAAAGAUACGUAGACGCGAGGUGGGUUACUCCUCCAGAGGCGAUGUGGAGGAUAUUUGGCUUUCCCUUGUGUGCCAAUGACCCGUCUGUCCUACAGUUGCCUCUUCAUCUCCCGAAUAUGCAUAGGGUGGCAUUCAAUGAGCAAGCUCACUUGACCGACGUAGUCGCCUCUGAGAAUGCUUCCAAAUCCAUGUUGACAGAGUAUUUCAAAGCUAACCAAAACCAUCCAUGGGCUAGGAAUAUAUUGUACAAGGAUUUUCCUGGAAGGUUCACAUGGCAGAAGGGUAAGAAGUAUUGGAAAGAGCGGUUGGAGCGUUAUCAGAUAGGUCGAAUUGUGUCUGCCAAUCCUGCCGAGGGGGAGCGAUUCUAUCUGCGUGUGCUGCUAAACCAUGUUGCUGGCAAGACAUCCUAUGAGGACCUGCUCACCGUGGACGGUAGGCUAUGCGGGAGCUUUAGAGAGGUUGCCGAAAGGUUGGGACUCAUCGAGGCAGAUAACACGCUCGACGACUGUCUUACCGAGGCAGAGUAGUGGGCGAUGCCAUGUUCGCUCAGGAGGCUCUUCGCAACAAUUUUGGUGCACUGUGAGCCAGGCGACGUGCGUGGUUUAUGGGAUAGGCACUUCGAGUCUAUGUCUGAUGACUAUCGGCGAUCACACACGUGCCCGAUUAGGGUGGAACAGAUGGUGUUGCUUGACAUUAGGGGUAUGUUGCAGUCCAUGGGCAAAGACAUAGCUGAUUUCAUUCUUCCAUGCAUUGACGAUGCUUUCGACCCAACCGAGGGCGAGGCCAGAGAAGUGAUCGAGGAAUCCAACGUCGAUUUUGACAUCAACGACACUAAAUUGGCUUCGUCGCUAAACUUGGAGCAGAGGGCUGCAUACGACGAGAUACUAGCUUCUGUUGAAUGCGGUGAUGGGGGUGUGUUCUUUGUUGAUGGCCCGGGAGGUACAGGGAAGACCUUCCUGUACAGGGCGCUGUUCGCCAAGGUUCGAAGCGAGGGAAACAUCGCUAUCGCUACUGCAACGUCAGGCGUCGCCGCUUCUAUCAUGCCUGGAGGCAGGACUGCCCACUCGAGGUUCAAGAUCCCGUUGAGCUGCGACGAUGGCACCUCAUGCACCUUCACGAAGCAGAGUGGUACCGCCAAGCUACUGAGGAUGGCCUCAUUGAUACUAUGGGACGAGGCCACCAUGACUAAGCGACAGGCAGUCGAGGCACUGGACAACAGCAUGCGCGACAUCAUGGGAAGACGAGACCGACCCUUUGGAGGAAAAACUGUUGUGUUUGGCGGGGACUUCAGGCAGGUGCUUCCCGUCGUCAGGAGGGGGUCCCGGGGUCAGAUAAUCGAUGCAACCCUCCGAAGUUCACACCUCUGGAAGGGUAUGCGCCAGCUAAGGCUCGUCACCAACAUGAGGGCUCAUAAUGACACCUGGUUUGCCGAUUACUUGCUAAGGGUAGGCAAUGGCACUGAGGAAGUUGACGAUCAAGGAAACAUACGACUCCCUGAAGAUAUUUGUGUGCCGUCUAUAGGUGAGGGUGACGACCUGGAGAAGCUGAUUGACCAUGUGUUUCCGAGACUAGAUGACAACCAGUCCGAUCCGAAUUACAUGACUUCACGCGCAAUCCUCUCCACCACGAACGACAACGUCGACAAGAUAAACAUACGCAUGGUAGACCGUUUUCGGGGAGAAGAAGUAAUAUACCAUAGCUUUGAUAGUGCAGAAGACGACCCGUAUGGCUACUACGCUCCCGAGUUCCUAAAUGGAUUGACUCCCAACGGUCUGCCUCCGCAUGCACUCAAACUGAAGCUCAACUGCCCUGUCAUACUUCUGAGGAACAUUGAUCCGGCUAAUGGUCUGUGUAACGGGACGAGGCUUGUGGUGCGAGGUUUCGAGAGGAACGCCAUUGAUGCAGAAAUCGUGAUCGGACAACACGCAGGUAGGAGGGUAUUCCUACCUCGAAUACCCCUAUGCCCGUCUGACAAUGACAUGUUUCCAUUCAAGUUCAAGAGGAAGCAAUUUCCUGUAAGGCUUAGCUUUGCUAUGACGAUUAACAAGGCUCAAGGCCAGACGAUUCCGAUUGUUGGCGUGUACCUACCUAAUCCGGUGUUCUCUCAUGGUCAACUCUAUGUCGCAUUGUCUCGAGCCACCGCAAAGAGAAAUAUAAAGAUCCUCAUUGAGAAGGAGAAGGAGAAGGAGAAUGCCAAGAAGCAAAGCCGUAAAUCUAAGAAGCGAAAAAGACCUGCCUUGUCCUUACAGGCCUCGAUGAAGAACAUCGUCUAUAAGGAAGUCCUUACAGGCUGAAGUCCGCUCUUAAAUAUGUGAGAGGAUUUACUCUUAUGCUACAAGUAAUUUGGUGCUCUUUGGUGUCUUUGUACAUAUCUAUAUCUUUCAAUGUUUGCAAUUGAACUUUAUUAUGUUUAUAGUACAAGGCAAGUAUUAAUAAUAUUGCCUCGGAUUUGUGACUUUGCAAGUUGCCAAAUUUUGCUGUAUGUGAUAUUAUUUUUCGUUUUGCUGGUUUGCUUAUGUAUAUUAUUCUUUUGUUGUUUUGUAAUCAAUCAUCUACUACAUCUAAACUCGGCUUUGUUUUUCUGCACAAAUAUUGCACACUGCCUUGGUCACUUCGUUCUUGUAAAACUAGACUCCACUCAAGUGUUCUACAUUAGAGAAAUAUUUAUGAUGCGGCCCCAAUGCAGACUGUAUGUUUACUUAUUGUCGUGAUCUUUGUACGUUGAUGCCUACACCCUACAGCCUGAGCCACUUGACGACCAAUCUGUAAUUCGAUGUUAAAAAUAUAGAUGCAGAUACGUUAAUUAUAAUGUGGCGUCGAAUUCCAUGAUAAUUCAUACCUGAAAUAAAAUUGUAAUUUAUUUGAUAUCUUACUAUCGUAUCCGCAUCGAGCACAACCGAGCGCAUCUAUUUCCGGUGAGGCCAACUAUCCAGAAUCCUCCCGCAUCUUAAAUCCAUUGACGCUUUUCUGUUAUAGGUUUUGUUCUAUGUAGAUACCGAAAUUAGCACCGCUAAACUUUUAAUCUGUAAAUACCACUAUAGAGUACUUUGGCCUGUAAUUAGCAAGUCUUCCUUCGUUGCCGCGCAAGUACUUCUCUUGCAUUCCCUGAGAUAUAAAGUAUAUACUAUCUCUACUUCCUAAUCAGUUUGAAAGAUUAAUUCAAACUAUGCAUGCUCCUAAUAAGGAGAAGGUCUUUAUUAUCUUGCAUGUACUUUCACCAGAAUGAUUAUUUUCGUUAUACCUCACUGACUAAUGAUGUCAGGCUUUACUUCGUCGGAAAUCAGCACAUGCCAGCUAGCGAAUAUUCAACAUAAAAAUAUGAUGGUUAUAGGCACAUACCUUUCAUUGCCUUUAAUCUUCAAGUUCUCCUCGAUCUGCUCUCUACCCAUGUUCGCACAUGAUCCAAAUUUCUCUUUCAUGCUCAUGAGUUUCUGAUAACACGCUGAUUUACUUUUAUGUGUUCCUGAAUAGAGUAACCAAAUUAAGUGAAAAUCGGUUUUCUUCUUGACUACGUAAAGUAGAAGACGGUACCAGCAUUUUCCGACAAAGAGGGAGGGGGAGGAAAGAAUUUAUUAUUAAGCUACUCUAAGGGAGUCACAUCUUUUAGAUUCAUCUUUACAUGCAAGGAGAAAACUGUGAUAAUGCAGCCAUAGAGGAACAAAUCCAAAAUACACAAAACAAAUACAUUGUAGCUAUCAUGAGUUUUGUUGUUGGGGUCAGGCAAUUGAAGAUUGUGGUCAUAAAUGCAGUAAAGCAUGCCUCUACUUAUGAGAGAACAACCAAAAUUACAAUAAACUCCACACUGAUUAUAAGUAUAGUGUUCGUACAAAAUGCUAAAAAGGAAAAUAGGUCUUCAUAAAUUGAAGAUAGUUCAGCCACAUCAGAUUCAGCACUACACAUAACUCGCGUACAUAUAUGCAUUGUUAAAUACACUGCUAAUCACAUCAAUACGAAAAUUUCCUUUCGAGGUCUUGCAGCUCUUUGGAAAUAAAACAAAAGCGACCAAAGGGCAGCUUCAAAUACCUUGCCUGCGGAGACCGUGCAUGUCCAGCAAUGAACCUCACCAGGACUCAAUCAUUUGGCAUGAACAGAUUGCUGGGCUGCAGCACACAACAAGAAGAACCAGUUCAACACGGAGUUAAUUUGAAAAAACCAAUGUCCAAGACAGUUUGUAGUUAACAUAAAUUAACAUUAUUGUUUCAGUUAACAACAAAAAUUAACAUUAUUGUUUCAGUUAACAACUCCUUUCUUGCACGGACAUGUAUUAUGUGAUCAAGCAGUAAAAAGCAUUUAAGGGAUUAUCUAAGUACAAAAUUUAGAGAGAAAAACAAAACUUUCAGACCAUGAACCACCGAUCUUCGCAAAAUAAGUUGUCUGAGGUUACUUAUCUGCCUAAGAGAGCGUGUACUACACGUCGAUGAUGCCCAUUUGCUCUAUAGGAUCCUGCACAAUUUACAGAUGUUUUUCCACUAUCAUGCGCCCAUGGACGAUGCACCUUUAGAAGUGUUUGGCAUAUUAUGCAUCUCCGAAAAUAUUGUAAUCAGACCCCAUGCAUGGAACAGCUUGUUCUGCCUGAUAUAUGUGUGCAACAUGUCAGAUGCAAAUAAUUCGAUCAACUAAUUAUUUAGUCUAACC
RNAcentral lists this long non-coding RNA (11279 nucleotides) under Triticum aestivum (bread wheat). Its description in RNAcentral is "long non-coding RNA (TAES_LNC011666)". Lineage: Eukaryota; Viridiplantae; Streptophyta; Magnoliopsida; Poales; Poaceae. The record is from RNAcentral.